CCCCGUGCUCACAGCGCCGUGGCCCCACCCCUUCCCAUGCCGAACAGGGUCGUGAAACGCGGCAGCGCCAAUGGUACUUGGAUGGCAGCAUCCUGGAAGAGUAGGUCGGCGCGGGGG
Molecule: ribosomal RNA, 117 nt
Filed under: Deinococcus rubellus
Lineage: Bacteria; Thermotogati; Deinococcota; Deinococci; Deinococcales; Deinococcaceae
Source: RNAcentral